CCGCACACGCGCGCGCGCGCACACAAGCACACACACACACACACAUUUGCUCACACAAACCACACAAACUUUAAGCCUUGUGAAGCUGCCCAGGUGGUGUGUAGGAAAUUUUGGUAGAGAAAGAAAUAGUUUGAAAGUUGGUUUCUGACAAGAGGAAAGAAAAGGCUGCAACACUAAAGGAAGACUCAAAGUGUUAAAAGGACGCUCAAAAUGUAGUAUUGUGGCAGGUCGGGCAGAGACGGGGUUUUACUGUGUUAGCCAGGAUGGUCUCGGUCUCCUGACCUCGUGAUCUACCCGCCUCAGCCUCCCAAAGUGUUGGGAUUACAGGCAUGAGCCACCGCGCCCAGCCGUCUUGUCAAAAUACUCUAAGACUUCAUCUGUUUAGAAUCAAAAGUGCGGAAGACCUGGGAAUUAUGUAAUAAGGAUAGCAGAAUAAUCCUCGUCACUGACAGGUGGUGAGCUGUAAAGUGUUCUUUUGUUGCAGUGGCAGAGAUUUCAGCAAUGGAGGGAAAUCCAGUGGCCAAGAUGCUUACCUGUCUCGGUGUCCAGCAUGUGUCCUGGAGGAGUGCCCCUAAAGCACCUUCAGCUGUUUAUUUAAACACUUGACUCCAGGCUCUGAUGCAUUUUAAUUUUUCAACAUUUAAAUUUAGCUGUUUUAAUGAGGUUUUAGUUUUAAUAAGUAACAAAAGAUUUUUUCAGUAUUAAUUAUCAUGAGGUCUUAAACUCUGUAAUCUAUAUAAAACUCAGAGAGAACCUGUCUUGAGUAGUUUAAAUCUCUAAUUAAAUCAGUAUUUCUACCUAGCAACAGAGUAGCAAAAGUAUUAAUUCAGUGGUUCUCAAUAGGGGUAGGGGAGCAGAUUUUGACCGCCAGCCCAGGGCACAUUUGGCAAUGUCAAGAUGUUUUUCGCUGUCAUAACUUACGGAGGGGAUAGGUGCUACUGGCAUCUAGUGGGUAGAGGUCACGGAUGCUGCUGAAUAUCCUGCAGAGCUCAGGACAGCCCCUAUCUCCAUAAAAACUUUUCUGGCCCAGAAUGUCAAUAGUGCAACUGUUGAGAAACCUUCUAUAAAAUGAUUGGUGUGGGUAAGAGAAUAUACUAAAAUGCUAAAAUAGCAGGCUUGAAAUUAUUUGCAUAUCAGGAGAGUGGAGUUUAUAACUGACUGACUAAAAACUCUGGUGUAGGACCUAUCCUCCAGAGGCGAUGCUAAAUCUGCGGAUAGGACACUAAAUCAGCAUCUGUAAAAUUUGAAACAUAUCUCCACGGUGGGGUCAGACCAAAGAAUGGUAAAUGUUGCUUUGAUUUUAAAAAGUUGGAAAUGAUGUUUCUCAGAGGAAAUACUAGGUCUCAGUUGAGCUGUGAGAGGGGGCAGGUUGCUAUGUUUUUUUCUCUACAAUAGUGCACAGUGUCUUUUGAAUGGGAGAAGUUCUGAAUACCCUACUGAAGUAGCCCCUGCUGCAGUGUUCUCUACCAUGACAUGCUCUUUUUGCUUUCCCAGCACUUUUAUUAACUUUUAAUUAAUUUUUAUUGUUCAUGUUGCUAUUGCUAUUAGUCUACUGUCUGUCUCAUUGGACUGUAAGCUCUAUGAGAGUGGCAAAUAUAUAGUAUCACUUAAUAUUGUAUGUCUAGUAGCUACCAGAGUGCCUGCCGUUAUAACGAGCAUGGAUAAAUUUAAUAUUUUUGAAUUAAAUGAAUGAAUUAAACAUGUUUGUAGUGUGACUUCUUAGCAUAAUGCAUCCAUUUUCAACAGCAGAGAAUCUUCUACCAUACAAAGAGAACAUUUCCUCAGAAAGUUCUUACUUUCUCUUUUGUCAUAUUCCUCUUAUUAAGAAAAAUUCAAGAAUUGGCAACUAGGACCCCUUUAUUUGAUCCAUUUCCCUAUUGAUUAUGUGUAAGGACCUUGAAUCAUUGAACAAUCUCUGGAAAAUGUUUCUCUUCCUGAGUUAUUUAAAGAAAAGAGAAUAUGAGUGUCAAUAGUCAUACAGAAGGUACUGUUGCCUGAAUACUAUGCCCCUAAUUUUAAUAGUCAAAAGGCAGCGAAUUUCCUUCCAGGCUUUUACAGAACGGAGUUAAAACUAAGUCUGCAUUUACACGUGGACCAUCAAAAUUUUAACAAUUAGACGCUGGGUAAGUGGCUUAAAACACUUUCAUUGAAAUUUUUGUACCUUUCCCUAAUUAGGCAUUCAAACAAUGGACACAUGUGGAAUCUGCCAGCCCCAAGUUCCCAGCAGCUCUUAGUAAAGGUGAUUGAUGGCUACAUAAAACAUGAUCUUAACUUUAGGCUUCCUUAAGCAACUAUGUAUUUAUCUUAAAUAUUUCUAGUCCGAUUGUCCCAGGUUCAACUGGUACCUGAGAAUCCUUGGAAGUGGGACCAUUGACUGAUUUAGUUCAGACUUUCCAGCUUACAGCUGACUCCCUUUACCACAGACAUUCUUAUCUUUAAAGUGCUACCUGAGGUCUUUUUAGUGAUAUUUACCAAUUUUUAAAAUUUUGAGUGUUUCAGUAUGGUGGCAGUUUCAUGUUGGUGUUAUCCCAGGAAAAGUUUCCUAAAACUUGGAAAUGAGGCAAAAAGAUGAUUACAGUCAUUUCAAUAUCAUGUUACAGAAGUGCCUCUCGAAGUUUAAUGUGCUCCUGAAUCACCUGGAAAUAUUUUCAGAUUGUAGAUUCUGAUUCAGUGCAUCUGGGGUGGGGCCCCCAGAUACUCAAUUUUAAAUAGUCUCAGGUGGUAUCAAUGCUCCUGAAUCAUAAGCCACAUUUUGAGUAACAAGAUGCUAGGGCAAAUUUUUGAAAACCCAUGUAAAAGUCCAUGUCUCUUUCUAACGCAGUGGUUCUCAAACUUGCUUGCAUCUUAAAAUCACCUGGAGAGGUUUUAAAACUCCUUCUACUCAGACCUCACCUGUUUCCAACUAAAUGAGAAUAUCAGAGGUAAGACAUACUUAUUGGCAGCUUAAAAAGCUUCCCAGAUGUUUCUAAUAUUCUCUAACAGAAUAUGGCUUUGUUUACAGUACAGAUUAAGGGCAUUUUUUAUACUUCUGUAAAACUGGUAAGGCGUGAUGGUUUUGUUUUCCUGUAAUUUUACCAACUUUGUGUCUAAUUUGGCACUUUAUUUCAGGUUUUUCUUUUUUCCUACUGACUAAAAGUUUCUGUUUUUCAAAUACUGUUUGGAACUACUUUGUCAUCUUGCUAGUUCCCACAUUAAUGAGUGAAAUGAAACUUUGACACAGAAUGCUUUGAUGAUUUUUAUUCUAUCCAAUCUAUUACCAUAAUUUCUUAGCUAGUAGCUGUAUUUUCUUUUUGAGCAGCAGCCAAUCUUUAUGGGAAGUUGGUAAAGAAUAUAUUAUAAAUAAAUUCAUACACUAUUUUGGUGUCUCCCCA
This 3371-nucleotide long non-coding RNA is filed under the name Homo sapiens (human). RNAcentral describes it as "HSALNT0315135". The record is from RNAcentral. Lineage: Eukaryota; Metazoa; Chordata; Mammalia; Primates; Hominidae.